AGUGAACGCUGGCGGUAGGCCUAACACAUGCAAGUCGAACGGCAGCACCGUAAGAGCUUGCUCUUACGGGUGGCGAGUGGCGGAAGGGUGAGGAAUACAUCGGAAUCUACUUUUUCGUGGGGGAUAACGUAGGGAAACUUACGCUAAUACCGCAUACGACCUACGGGUGAAAGCAGGGGAUCUUCGGACCUUGCGCGAUUGAAUGAGCCGAUGUCGGAUUAGCUAGUUGGCGGGGUAAAGGCGCACCAAGGCGACGCUCCGUAGCUGGUCUGAGAGGAUGAAUCCCCACCUGGUAUCUGAGACACGGUCCAGACUCCUACGGGGGGCCGCAGUGGGGAAUAUUGGGCAAUGGGCGCAAGCCUGAUCCAGCCAUACCGCGUGGGUGAAGAAGGCCUUCGGGUUGUAAAGCCCUUUUGUUGGGAAAGAAAAGCAGCAGGUUAAUACCCCGCUGUUCUGACGGUACCCAAAGAAUAAGCACCGGCUAACUUCGUG
This 492-nucleotide ribosomal RNA is filed under the name uncultured bacterium. RNAcentral describes it as "partial 16S ribosomal RNA". It matches the Rfam family "Bacterial small subunit ribosomal RNA", at positions 29 to 507 of the family's 1533-position model. The record is from RNAcentral.